UCCAUCCCACAUCUGUGAGGAGAGGAGCUCGUGGUGCCUGUGGCAGGCUUUGCCUUGUGCUGGGUUCUGUCUCCUCGGGUCAGGCUGCAGCUCAGUCCCUGGUGCCCCCAGCCAUGGGACCCCCAGGGGCACUUGUGGCACUGAGCUUGGCUGUGUGUUGUGCAGUCUGGUCACUGCAGGCCUGAAGGACAUAUUCCAAAAUGAGCCAAAACACCCUCUCCUGAACAGAAAUACACCAGAGCUGGUUCAGCUUGGGGAACAGAAGUUGAAGGAGCUGUGGCACAGGGUGCUCACAAGUGUGAGGUGUAGAUGCUUUCUGGGAAGAUGAGGGUUGAGCCCUUUGGCUGUGAGUGGUCGGGUUCGAAUUCAGCCUCUGGGCUCACAUCUCAGAAAGCCUUAAUUCAGUUCUCAUUUUUCCAGGGAUGGGGAAACUCAACACUGUCAAUCUCCUCUUUGCUCUUCAGACAGCAGCAGACACUUGAAUGAAGACUCCUCGUGUUUACAGCCUGGUCACACGAGCGACUGAGACCUGAAAUCUCCCUGACAUCCUCUCUGGAUGCUUGGCCUAGGAACAGCGUCAUUCCUACCACACCUGCUCCCUUCCGCUCAUGGAGCCUUCUAUGCUGCACUGGACACUGGAAAAGCUCUUGGAGAUGGCUGGAAAAGGAUGGGACGUCCUGGAAAAUGGUCUCUAAACCAGCCCUUCCCUGUGCCGUGGCUUUUCUGAGGCUCGUUAAUAUCAGUGGUUCCUGCUGGAGGAACUCUGUCACCUUCCCCAAGGCAGCAGAUCUGAGGCCAGACGUGGUGUGCGCUGCUUGUGCAUCAGACACGAGUAAUAACAAGUUUCGAG
RNAcentral lists this long non-coding RNA (850 nucleotides) under Serinus canaria (Common canary). RNAcentral's name for it is "lncRNA (ENSSCAG00000014816.1)". The record is from RNAcentral. Lineage: Eukaryota; Metazoa; Chordata; Aves; Passeriformes; Fringillidae.